GACGAACGCUGGCGGCGUGCUUAACACAUGCAAGUCGAGCGGUAAGGCCCCUUCGGGGGUACACGAGCGGCGAACGGGUGAGUAACACGUGAGCAAUCUGCCCAUCACAUCGGGAUAACUCCGGGAAACCGAAGCUAAUACCGAAUACGACCACCUCCGGCAUCGGAUGGUGGUGGAAAGUUCCGGCGGUGAUGGAUGAGCUCGCGGCCUAUCAGCUUGUUGGUGGGGUAACGGCCCACCAAGGCUUCGACGGGUAGCCGGCCUGAGAGGGUGACCGGCCACACUGGGACUGAGACACGGCCCAGACUCCUAAGGGAGGCAGAAGUGGGGAAUAUUGGACAAUGGGCGAAAGCCUGAUCCAGCAACGCCGCGUGAGGGAUGACGGCCUUCGGGUUGUAAACCUCUUUCAGCAGGGACGAAGCGCAAGUGACGGUACCUGCAGAAGAAGCACCGGCCAACUACGUG
RNAcentral lists this ribosomal RNA (465 nucleotides) under uncultured bacterium. RNAcentral describes it as "partial 16S ribosomal RNA". It matches the Rfam family "Bacterial small subunit ribosomal RNA", at positions 28 to 507 of the family's 1533-position model. The record is from RNAcentral.